RNAcentral lists this transfer RNA (70 nucleotides) under Rhodosalinus sediminis. It matches the Rfam family "tRNA". From Rfam's summary of the family: Transfer RNA (tRNA) molecules are approximately 80 nucleotides in length. Their secondary structure includes four short double-helical elements and three loops (D, anti-codon, and T loops). The record is from RNAcentral. Lineage: Bacteria; Pseudomonadati; Pseudomonadota; Alphaproteobacteria; Rhodobacterales; Paracoccaceae.
CGGUAUAGCUCAGCUGGUAGAGCAUCUGAUUUGUAAUCAGAGGGCCGGGGGUUCGAGUCCCUCUGCCGGC